AGUGAACGCUGGCGGUAGGCCUAACACAUGCAAGUCGAACGGCAGCACAGUAAGAGCUUGCUCUUACGGGUGGCGAGUGGCGGACGGGUGAGGAAUACAUCGGAAUCUACUUUUUCGUGGGGGAUAACGUAGGGAAACUUACGCUAAUACCGCAUACGACCUACGGGUGAAAGCAGGGAUCUUCCGGCCUUGCGCGAUUGGAUGAACCGAUGUCGGAUUAGCUAGUUGGCGGGGUAAAGGCCCACCAAGGCGACGAUCCGUAGCUGGUCUGAGAGGAUGAUCAGCCACACUGGAACUGAGACACGGUCCAGACUCCUACGGGAGGCAGCAGUGGGGAAUAUUGGACAAAGGGCGCAAGCCUGAUCCAGCCAUACCGCGUGGGUGAAGAAGGCCUUCGGGUUGUAAAGCCCUUUUGUUGGGAAAGAAAAGCAGCAGGUUAAUACCCCGCUGUUCUGACGGUACCCAAAGAAUAAGCACCGGCUAACUUCGUG
This 491-nucleotide ribosomal RNA is filed under the name uncultured bacterium. RNAcentral's name for it is "partial 16S ribosomal RNA". It matches the Rfam family "Bacterial small subunit ribosomal RNA", at positions 29 to 507 of the family's 1533-position model. The record is from RNAcentral.